UGAUAAUUAGUUUAACCUUUAACAAAUGAAAUCGACUCAUUAAACUACGAUUAGACCCGUUAUUAUCAC
Molecule: transfer RNA, 69 nt
Filed under: Bradypus variegatus (Brown-throated sloth)
Lineage: Eukaryota; Metazoa; Chordata; Mammalia; Pilosa; Bradypodidae
Description: tRNA-Arg
Source: RNAcentral